GAAAGCCUGAUUGGAGCAACGCCGCGUGAGUGAUGAAGGCCUUCGGGUUGUAAAACUCUGUCGUGCAAGAACAAAGUCACCGGGUGAACAAUCCGGUGAUCUGAUUGUAUUGCAGGAGGAAGACACGGCUAACUCUGUGCCAGCAGCCGCGGUAAUAA
RNAcentral lists this ribosomal RNA (158 nucleotides) under uncultured bacterium. RNAcentral's name for it is "partial 16S ribosomal RNA". It matches the Rfam family "Bacterial small subunit ribosomal RNA", at positions 377 to 526 of the family's 1533-position model. The record is from RNAcentral.